GACGAACGCUGGCGGCGUGCUUAACACAUGCAAGUCGAACGGAAAGGCCCUGCUUUUGUGGGGUGCUCGAGUGGCGAACGGGUGAGUAACACGUGAGUAACCUGCCCUUGACUUUGGGAUAACUUCAGGAAACUGGGGCUAAUACCGGAUAGGAGCUCCUGCUGCAUGGUGGGGUUGGAAAGUUUCGGCGGUUGGGGAUGGACUCGCGGCUUAUCAGCUUGUUGGUGGGGUAGUGGCUUACCAAGGCUUUGCCGGGUAGCCGGCCUGAGAGGGUGACCGGCCACAUUGGGACUGAGAUACGGCCCAGACUCCUACGGGAGGCAGCAGUGGGGAAUAUUGCACAAUGGGCGGAAGCCUGAUGCAGCAACGCCGCGUGCGGGAUGACGGCCUUCGGGUUGUAAACCUCUUUCGCCUGUGACGAAGCGUGAGUGACGGUAAUGGGUAAAGAAGCACCGGCUAACUACGUG
Molecule: ribosomal RNA, 467 nt
Filed under: uncultured bacterium
Lineage: Bacteria
Description: partial 16S ribosomal RNA
Rfam family: Bacterial small subunit ribosomal RNA
Source: RNAcentral